UGGGGAAUAUUGCACAAUGGGGGAAACCCUGAUGCAGUGACGCCGCGUGAAGGAAGAAGUAUCUCGGUAUGUAAACUUCUAUCAGCAGGGAAGAUAGUGACGGUACCUGACUAAGAAGCCCCGGCUAACUACGUGCC
Molecule: ribosomal RNA, 137 nt
Filed under: uncultured bacterium
Lineage: Bacteria
Description: partial 16S ribosomal RNA
Rfam family: Bacterial small subunit ribosomal RNA
Source: RNAcentral